This 466-nucleotide ribosomal RNA is filed under the name uncultured bacterium. RNAcentral describes it as "partial 16S ribosomal RNA". It matches the Rfam family "Bacterial small subunit ribosomal RNA", at positions 28 to 507 of the family's 1533-position model. The record is from RNAcentral.
GACGAACGCUGGCGGCGUGCCUAACACAUGCCAGUCGAACGAGCGGGAGAGAGCUUGCUUUCUCGAGCGAGUGGCGAACGGGUGAGUAACACGUGAGGAACCUGCCCCAAAGAGGGGGACAACAGUUGGAAACGACUGCUAAUACCGCAUAAGCUCACUGCUCGGCAUCGAGCAGGGGGAAAAGGAGCAAUAUGCUUUGAGAUGUCGUCGCGUCCGCUCAGCUGGUUGUUGAGGUAACGGUACACCAUGGCGACGACCGCUAGACGGACCGUGAGGUUGAACGGACACAUUGGCACUGGGACACGGCACAGACUCCUACGCGAGGGAGCAGUGGGGGAUAUUGCACAGUGGGGGAAACCCUGAUGCAGCGACGCCGCGUAGAGGAUGAUGGUCUUCAGAUUGUAAUCUGCUGUUGUCGGGGAAGAUAAUGACGGUACCCAACAAGGAAGUGACGGCUAACUACGUG